RNAcentral lists this ribosomal RNA (462 nucleotides) under uncultured Rhodococcus sp. RNAcentral's name for it is "bacterial SSU rRNA". It matches the Rfam family "Bacterial small subunit ribosomal RNA", at positions 920 to 1382 of the family's 1533-position model. Lineage: Bacteria; Bacillati; Actinomycetota; Actinomycetes; Mycobacteriales; Nocardiaceae. The record is from RNAcentral.
CCCGCACAAGCGGCGGAGCAUGUGGAUUAAUUCGAUGCAACGCGAAGAACCUUACCUGGGUUUGACAUACACCGGAAAACCGUAGAGAUACGGUCCCCCUUGUGGUCGGUGUACAGGUGGUGCAUGGCUGUCGUCAGCUCGUGUCGUGAGAUGUUGGGUUAAGUCCCGCAACGAGCGCAACCCUUGUCUUAUGUUGCCAGCACGUAAUGGUGGGGACUCGUAAGAGACUGCCGGGGUCAACUCGGAGGAAGGUGGGGACGACGUCAAGUCAUCAUGCCCCUUAUGUCCAGGGCUUCACACAUGCUACAAUGGCCAGUACAGAGGGCUGCGAGACCGUGAGGUGGAGCGAAUCCCUUAAAGCUGGUCUCAGUUCGGAUCGGGGCCUGCAACUCGACCCCGUGAAGUCGGAGUCGCUAGUAAUCGCAGAUCAGCAACGCUGCGGUGAAUACGUUCCCGGGCCUU